Molecule: ribosomal RNA, 422 nt
Filed under: Pseudomonas sp. DB2-16
Lineage: Bacteria; Pseudomonadati; Pseudomonadota; Gammaproteobacteria; Pseudomonadales; Pseudomonadaceae
Description: bacterial SSU rRNA
Rfam family: Bacterial small subunit ribosomal RNA
Source: RNAcentral
CUAACACAUGCAAGUCGAGCGGUAGAGAGAAGCUUGCUUCUCUUGAGAGCGGCGGACGGGUGAGUAAUGCCUAGGAAUCUGCCUGGUAGUGGGGGAUAACGUUCGGAAACGGACGCUAAUACCGCAUACGUCCUACGGGAGAAAGCAGGGGACCUUCGGGCCUUGCGCUAUCAGAUGAGCCUAGGUCGGAUUAGCUAGUUGGUGAGGUAAUGGCUCACCAAGGCGACGAUCCGUAACUGGUCUGAGAGGAUGAUCAGUCACACUGGAACUGAGACACGGUCCAGACUCCUACGGGAGGCAGCAGUGGGGAAUAUUGGACAAUGGGCGAAAGCCUGAUCCAGCCAUGCCGCGUGUGUGAAGAAGGUCUUCGGAUUGUAAAGCACUUUAAGUUGGGAGGAAGGGUUGUAGAUUAAUACUCUGCA